AUGAACGCUGGCGGCGUGCCUAAUACCUGCAAGUCGAGCGAACGGACGAGAAGCUUGCUUCUCUGAUGUUAGCGGCGGACGGGUGAGUAACACGUGGAUAACCUACCUAUAAGACUGGGAUAACUUCGGGAAACCGUAGCUAAUACCGGAUAAUAUUUUGAACCGCAUGGUUCAAAAGUGAAAGACGGUCUUGCUGUCACUUAUAGAUGGAUCCGCGCUGCAUUAGCUAGUUGGUAAGGUAACGGCUUACCAAGGCAACGAUGCAUAGCCGACCUGAGAGGGUGAUCGGCCACACUGGAACUGAGACACGGUCCAGACUCCUACGGGAGGCAGCAGUAGGGAAUCUUCCGCAAUGGGCGAAAGCCUGACGGAGCAACGCCGCGUGGGUGAUGAAGGUCUUCGGAUCGUAAAACUCUGUUAUUAGGGAAGAACAUAUGUGUAAGUAACUGUGCACAUCUUGACGGUACCUAAUCAGAAAGCCACGGCUAACUACGUG
This 496-nucleotide ribosomal RNA is filed under the name uncultured bacterium. Its description in RNAcentral is "partial 16S ribosomal RNA". It matches the Rfam family "Bacterial small subunit ribosomal RNA", at positions 29 to 507 of the family's 1533-position model. The record is from RNAcentral.